UUCUGGUUGAUCCUGCCGGACCCGACUGCUAUCGGAUUGAGACUAAGCCAUGCGAGUCAACCCGCAAGGGUGGCGGACGGCUCAGUAACACGUAGUGAACCUGCCCUGGGGACGUGGACAACCAUGGGAAACUGUGGCUAAACCGCGAUAGGUCAUUGUUUCUGGAAUGGGCAAUGGCUCAAACCUACAUGGCCCCAGGAUGGCACUGCGGCCGAUCAGGUUGUUGGUGAGGUAAUGGCCCACCAAGCCUGUAACCGGUACGGGCUCUGAGAGGAGGAGCCUGGAGAUGGGCACUGAGACAAGGGCCCAGGUCCUAUGGGACGCAGCAGGCGCGAAACCUUCGCAAUAGGCGAAAGCCUGACGAGGUUAUUCCGAGUGUUCCCUGCUAAAGGGAUCUUUUGCCAGCUCUAAAAAUGCUGGUGAAUAAGGGGUGGGCAAGCCUGGUGUCAGCCGCCGCGGUAAUACCAGUACCCCGAGUGGUCGGGAUGAUUAUUUGGCCUAAAGCAUCCGUAGCCGGCGCUUCAAGUCUUCCGUUAAAUCCACCUGCUCAACAGAUGGGCUGCGGGAGAUACUGCUGCGCUAGGAGGCGGGAGAGGCGAGGGGUAUUCCAUGGGUAGGGGUAAAAUCCUCUGAUCCAUGGAGGACCACCAGUGGCGAAGGCGUCUCGCCAGAACGCGCUCGACGGUGAGGGAUGAAAGCUGGGGGAGCAAACCGGAUUAGAUACCCGGGUAGUCCCAGCUGUAAACGAUGUAGGCUCGGUGAUGGACUGGAUUCGAUCCAGCCCAGUGCCGCAGGGAAGCCGUUAAGCCUACCGCCUGGGGAGUAGGGUCGCAAGACUGAAACUUAAAGGAAUUGGCGGG
Molecule: ribosomal RNA, 860 nt
Filed under: uncultured Thermoprotei archaeon
Lineage: Archaea; Thermoproteati; Thermoproteota; Thermoprotei
Description: bacterial SSU rRNA
Rfam family: Archaeal small subunit ribosomal RNA
Source: RNAcentral